Molecule: long non-coding RNA, 282 nt
Organism: Aquila chrysaetos chrysaetos
Lineage: Eukaryota; Metazoa; Chordata; Aves; Accipitriformes; Accipitridae
Exons: 2
Source: RefSeq, a predicted model, not a curated record
UUGUAUUUUCUACUCCAGUUAUUGCCUGCAGCAAUAUUUAUUUUUAACAGGUAAGAAAAUUCAUUCAGCUACUUCCUGCAAAUAUUCAGUUACAAAGUUUCAGGACCGUCAUGAUCCUUAUCAGGAAACCUAAAUUAAAGGCAGAAGGAAAACUCAAGCACAAGUUUUACUUCCCACCAAAAUAACAAGAUUCAGUGAAGACUGACAAAGAGUUGGCCAAAUGAAAAACAGGUUUUUUGUUUUGUGUUUUAAAUUACAAAGUGUGUUUUUCUUCUGACUACA